GUCUACGGCCACACCAUCCUCAAUGCAUCAAAUCUCAUCUGAUCUUGGAAACUAAGCAGGGUCUGGGCCUGGUUAGUACUUGGAUGGGAGAAUGGGUAAACUGCCUUGCCUGGACU
RNAcentral lists this ribosomal RNA (116 nucleotides) under Aotus nancymaae (Ma's night monkey). Lineage: Eukaryota; Metazoa; Chordata; Mammalia; Primates; Aotidae. The record is from RNAcentral.